AAUUCCCCUGUUCAUUGCAAGCCUGAAGAAUUGACAAAGAGUCGUAGUUUCAGUAAUAAUGAUAAUAAUAAAUUCUAAGCAAACUGAGACAAAAUUCAAGAUAGCCUGAUAAAAUCAUUUAGGAACAUCAAAAUGAUCCAUAAUAUUUUGAAUUUGCAAAUUGAGAUUCCAUUUCCUUUUAAGAAUGGAAAUACAAUAUUGGCUAUUCUUCGCUAGGAUAAAUUUUUUAGAAUAAAAGAAGGAAUUAGUGGUACAGGUUUUCAGCAUUAAAAUUGUGCAGGUAAAUGAACACAUUUGGUGAGAGAAUUCCAUGUCCUAGGAAUCACUAUCAUUCAAAUCAAGUUUUAGAAUGCACUCAUAAAAUAGAAAGACCACGAAGAAAUUUAUAUAAUGUCUUCACUAAAAAUUUAUUCCAACAGAGGUUCAAUAGAUACUUGUUCAAUUCAUUACCAAGGGUAAAUUCUACAGCUCCACAAGUUGCAAAGAAGUUGCCUUGAGAUCCUUUAAUAUGACUUUUAACUAUGUUAGGAUGCUAAAAAUGGAGUUGGGUGUAUCCUUUAUUCAAUUUUAAUUUUCUGCUUGCCCUCCAAUGGUUCUAAGAUCUUCAUUUUAUUCUCUGGAAAUUCUGAACUUUUGUAUGAUGGAUGAGAAAAAAAUUUGAAGAUAGUGACAGAUCUUACCGAAGCUGAUGUAGCCAAAGCAAUUGAAAUAGCUUGCUCUCUCAAUUUUAACUCUUUCUCCACUUCUUUUCUUUGCACCUCACUUUGUCGCAAGAGCCCUACAAGUUCUUUAAAUUGUUCCUUCAUUUCCUUGAUUUCCAUUUCCUUUUCCCAUACCUGACUGAUUUCCAUUUCCUUUUCCCAUACCUGAC
RNAcentral lists this unclassified non-coding RNA (871 nucleotides) under Hevea brasiliensis (rubber tree). The record is from RNAcentral. Lineage: Eukaryota; Viridiplantae; Streptophyta; Magnoliopsida; Malpighiales; Euphorbiaceae.